GCGCCCGUAGCUCAGCAGGAUAGAGCAACUGCCUUCUAAGCAGUAGGUUGGGAGUUCGAGUCUCUCCGGGCGCGCCA
Molecule: transfer RNA, 77 nt
Filed under: Clostridia bacterium
Lineage: Bacteria; Bacillati; Bacillota; Clostridia
Description: tRNA-Arg
Rfam family: tRNA
About the family: Transfer RNA (tRNA) molecules are approximately 80 nucleotides in length. Their secondary structure includes four short double-helical elements and three loops (D, anti-codon, and T loops).
Source: RNAcentral